AUCCACAUGACAAGUCCCGAAUAGGACGAAACGCGCAUCCUGGAU
Molecule: non-coding RNA, 45 nt
Filed under: Trichobilharzia regenti
Lineage: Eukaryota; Metazoa; Platyhelminthes; Trematoda; Strigeidida; Schistosomatidae
Source: RNAcentral